GACCCUGAAUGCCAUGGCAGCUACAACAGGCAAGCUUGAGCUGGUUGCACCAGAUUUCGUUGGACAAAUUAUCCAGAUUGGUUGCAGAUUGUGUGUGUUGACAGCAUCAGACAGGGAGAGAGAGAGAGAGAGUGUCGCAUGCCUUCCUGUUCCUGUACCACCCUCCAACCCCAGAGCCGCAGACUCAAGGCAGUUUCCAGAAUCAAACAAUUUCACGCAGCUACUGGAGGAGGAAAUGAACUGAGCCCAGAGCAAUAAUAAAAUUAUACAAAUGUUA
Labrus mixtus (cuckoo wrasse) is the source of this 277-nucleotide long non-coding RNA. RefSeq lists it as uncharacterized. The transcript is spliced from 2 exons. NCBI's taxonomy places the organism in Eukaryota, Metazoa, Chordata, Actinopteri, Labriformes, Labridae. The record is from RefSeq and is a predicted model, not a curated record.